Molecule: long non-coding RNA, 1210 nt
Filed under: Oryctolagus cuniculus (rabbit)
Lineage: Eukaryota; Metazoa; Chordata; Mammalia; Lagomorpha; Leporidae
Description: lncRNA (ENSOCUG00000035602.1)
Source: RNAcentral
AUGUUUAGCAAAACCCUCUCCUGCUGCAAUCUAAGACCACUUUCUCCUUCUGGCUUUUGUGAAAACAGAGAACAACCCUUUGGAAUUUUGUUUAUAAUAACUCUUCUUAUUUGUCCCGUGUGUUAUUUGAGUCCUGAUUUUUAUGUGUUGAAGACCUGCGUUCUGAGGUUCCCGUGGUCUCUUGUUUUCUGCGUGCUGUUUCCAGCGCUGCUGCCCUGUUCUGCUAAUGCAGAAAGAAGACAGAGCCCUGGCCCUGAAAUCAGCGGUGACUGAGACCAACGUCCUUUGUUUAAGUUAAGAUCAAAUAGUGAAGCAAGUAUGUAAAUUCCUGCCAAAUGAAGCUAAAGCAGGCAUUCUGCUCUGUUUAGCAGUGGGAACAACCCUGCACAUCUGCUUCACAUGCGCUCUAUCGCUUGAUUACUUAAGCUGAGUCGCCAUUGAACACAGGCAAGCACACACCCUCACACACACACAAGCACUCCUGUAAUUUUUGGGCUAAACCAGUAAAACAGCCUCCAAUCCAAAUAUCAGUUUGCUAAAAAUUCUCUGUGAUUUGAUAGACUAAAUCUAUUUUGUUCUAAUACAGUCUGAGUUCACUCACUGUCCUUUCGAAACACACAAUGACCAACUGGAAAUGAAUGAUUCUAUCAUCUAAAAAGUUGGGAGUCCUUGCAAACUAACUGCAAGCCACUCUGAUGCAGAGAGUGUCCAGGCCCUGGCAUUUGGUGUUAAGGUGCUGGCCCUGUGGCUAGGCCAAGGUUCAUAACAAGCAUCACAACACACCACUGUUUUUUUAUGAGAAAUAGGACUAUAAACCUAAAAUUCAAGGUAAAUCUUUAUCCAAUUUCAGAGUUGGAAUGGUUAUGUGAAAAGUAAUUCCCCAGACCCUUUCCCCCAGAUUAUGGCUACAACAUUAGAAGAUAAAAAUAGAUUGUUCCUCAUUUUAAAUUUUCAAAAAAUACAGUAUUCAAUAGAUAGAUGGGGAGUUAGGUGGUAGAUAGAUACUUACUGUUCAAUUCUAAUGUUUCUGACUUAAAAUUUUAAGGUCAUUGUCUCCCUUCUGACACCUCUCACUACAUCCACAUCCCAUUAUAUCAUUACAGACUCAUGAAGCAAUGUACUUUUUACAUUUUGCAGGAUAAUGACUCUUUUGUAUUUCAUUUUUAUCAUAAUAUAAAUCUUGAAUUGCAAUUUGCAUAUCUUUUGUUUA